ACGGGUAUAGAAAAGCGGUAGGGAAUAAUAGGGGCGACAACCCACACGAAAGGUUUGAGUGGCACAAGGGACUGUUGUAUAGGGUGACAGAUGGGGCGGGACACGGGACCGCCCAGGUUACUAAGAGGCAGCUAGUAGUACCCCGCAAGUUUCGGGCAGAGUUAUUAAGACUCAGCCAUGAUAUCCCCCUAGCCGGACAUUUAGGGGUUAAGAAAACUAGAGACCGGCUGACCCAAACCUUCUUCUGGCCCAGGGUCACUCAAGACCUCAAAUACUACUGCAGGAGGAGAGGAGAUGUACAGUAUGUAUAUAACCUAGUCACUUAUUUUAGAUACAUAGACG
This 342-nucleotide long non-coding RNA is filed under the name Pelobates cultripes (western spadefoot toad). The record is from RNAcentral. Lineage: Eukaryota; Metazoa; Chordata; Amphibia; Anura; Pelobatidae.